This 497-nucleotide ribosomal RNA is filed under the name uncultured bacterium. RNAcentral's name for it is "partial 16S ribosomal RNA". It matches the Rfam family "Bacterial small subunit ribosomal RNA", at positions 28 to 507 of the family's 1533-position model. The record is from RNAcentral.
GAUGAACGCUGGCGGCGUGCCUAAUACAUGCAAGUCGAGCGAACAGACGAGGAGCUUGCUCCUCUGACGUUAGCGGCGGACGGGUGAGUAACACGUGGAUAACCUACCUAUAAGACUGGGAUAACUUCGGGAAACCGGAGCUAAUACCGGAUAAUAUAUUGAACCGCAUGGUUCAAUAGUGAAAGACGGUUUUGCUGUCACUUAUAGAUGGAUCAGCGCCGCAUUAGCUAGUUGGUAAGGUAACGGCUUACCAAGGCGACGAUGCGUAGCCGACCUGAGAGGGUGAUCGGCCACACUGGAACUGAGACACGGUCCAGACUCCUACGGGAGGCAGCAGUAGGGAAUCUUCCGCAAUGGGCGAAAGCCUGACGGAGCAACGCCGCGUGAGUGAUGAAGGUCUUCGGAUCGUAAAACUCUGUUAUUAGGGAAGAACAAAUGUGUAAGUAACUAUGCACGUCUUGACGGUACCUAAUCAGAAAGCCACGGCUAACUACGUG